RNAcentral lists this ribosomal RNA (1438 nucleotides) under uncultured bacterium. RNAcentral describes it as "bacterial SSU rRNA". It matches the Rfam family "Bacterial small subunit ribosomal RNA". The record is from RNAcentral.
AGGGUUUGAUCAUGGCUCAGAACGUACGCUGGCGGCACGCCUAACACAUGCAAGUCGAACGAAGUAGCAAUACUUAGUGGCAGACGGGUGAGUAACAUGUAGGUAUCUACCCUUUGGCCUGGAAUAACACGAGGAAACUUGUGCUAAUACCGGAUAAGUCUUUACGGAGAAAGCUUUAUGCACCAUUGGAUGAGCCUGCACUUGAUUAGUUUGUUGGUAGGGUAAUGGCCUACCAAGACUUUGAUCAAUAGCUGAUUUGAGAGGAUGAUCAGCCACAUUGGGACUGAGACACGGCCCAAACUCCUACGGGAGGCAGCAGUGGGGAAUCUUGCACAAUGGAGGAAACUCUGAUGCAGCGAUGCCGCGUGAGUGAAGAAGGCCCUUGGGUUGUAAAGCUCUUUCGUCGGGGAAGAAAAUGACUGUACCCGAAUAAGAAGGUCCGGCUAACUUCGUGCCAGCAGCCGCGGUAAUACGAAGGGACCUAGCGUAGUUCGGAAUUACUGGGCUUAAAGAGUUCGUAGGUGGUUGAAAAAGUUGGUGGUGAAAUCCCAGAGCUUAACUCUGGAACUGCCAUCAAAACUUUUCAGCUAGAGUUGAUAGAGGAAAGCAGAAUUUCUAGUGUAGAGGUGAAAUUCGUAGAUAUUAGAAAGAAUACCAAUUGCGAAGGCAGCUUUCUGGAUCAUUACUGACACUGAGGAACGAAAGCAUGGGUAGCGAAGAGGAUUAGAUACCCUCGUAGUCCAUGCCGUAAACGAUGUGUGUUAGACGUUGGAAAUUUAUUUUCAGUGUCGCAGCGAAAGCGAUAAACACACCGCCUGGGGAGUACGACCGCAAGGUUAAAACUCAAAUGAAUUGACGGGGACCCGCACAAGUAGUGGAGCAUGUGGUUUAAUUCGAAGAUACGCGCAGAACCUUACCAACACUUGACAUGUUCGUCGCGACUUUAAGAGAUUAAAGUUUUCGGUUCGGCCGGACGAAACACAGGUGCUGCAUGGCUGUCGUCAGCUCGUGUCGUGAGAUGUUGGGUUAAGUCCCGCAACGAGCGCAACCCUCACUUUUAGUUGCCAUCAUUUAGUUGGGCACUCUGAAAGAACUGCCAGUGAUAAGCUGGAGGAAGGUGGGGAUGACGUCAAGUCCUCAUGGCCCUUACGUGUUGGGCUACACACGUGCUACAAUGGUAUCUACAACAGGAAGCAAAACGGCGACGUUAAGCAAAUCCUUAAAAGAUACCUCAGUUCGGAUUGUACUCUGCAACUCGAGUACAUGAAGCUGGAAUUACUAGUAAUCGUGGAUCAGCGUGCCACGGUGAAUGCGUUCCCGGGUCUUGUACACACCGCCCGUCACACCAUGGGAGUUGGUUCUACCUUAAGGCAAGGUUUAAAACCCUUGACCACGGUAUAGUCAGCGACUGGGGUGAAGUCGUAACAAGGUAACCGUA